Molecule: ribosomal RNA, 459 nt
Filed under: Bifidobacterium longum
Lineage: Bacteria; Bacillati; Actinomycetota; Actinomycetes; Bifidobacteriales; Bifidobacteriaceae
Description: bacterial SSU rRNA
Rfam family: Bacterial small subunit ribosomal RNA
Source: RNAcentral
UGCUUACACAUGCAAGUCGAACGGGAUCCAUCAGGCUUUGCUUGGUGGUGAGAGUGGCGAACGGGUGAGUAAUGCGUGACCGACCUGCCCCAUACACCGGAAUAGCUCCUGGAAACGGGUGGUAAUGCCGGAUGCUCCAGUUGAUCGCAUGGUCUUCUGGGAAAGCUUUCGCGGUAUGGGAUGGGGUCGCGUCCUAUCAGCUUGACGGCGGGGUAACGGCCCACCGUGGCUUCGACGGGUAGCCGGCCUGAGAGGGCGACCGGCCACAUUGGGACUGAAAUACGGCCCAAACUCCUACGGGAGGCAGCAGUGGGGAAUAUUGCACAAUGGGCGCAAGCCUGAUGCAGCGACGCCGCGUGAGGGAUGGAGGCCUUCGGGUUGUAAACCUCUUUUAUCGGGGAGCAAGCGAGAGUGAGUUUACCCGUUGAAUAAGCACCGGCUAACUACGUGCCAGCGCCC